UUUCCCGUAGGUGAACCUGCCGAGGGAUCAUUACAAGUGACCCCGGUUUACCACCGGGAUGUUCAUAACCCUUUGUUGUCCGACUCUGUUGCCUCCGGGGCGACCCUGCCUUCGGGCGGGGGCUCCGGGUGGACACUUCAAACUCUUGCGUAACUUUGCAGUCUGAGUAAACUUAAUUAAUAAAUUAAAACUUUUAACAACGGAUCUCUUGGUUCUGGCAUCGAUGAAGAACGCAGCGAAAUGCGAUAAGUAAUGUGAAUUGCAGAAUUCAGUGAAUCAUCGAAUCUUUGAACGCACAUUGCGCCCCCUGGUAUUCCGGGGGGCAUGCCUGUUCGAGCGUCAUUUCACCACUCAAGCCUCGCUUGGUAUUGGGCAACGCGGUCCGCCGCGUGCCUCAAAUCGACCGGCUGGGUCUUCUGUCCCCUAAGCGUUGUGGAAACUAUUCGCUAAAGGGUGCUCGGGAGGCUACGCCGUAAAACAACCCCAUUUCUAAGGUUGACCUGGGAACA
This 509-nucleotide ribosomal RNA is filed under the name Cladosporium sp. ASR-228. Its description in RNAcentral is "eukaryotic LSU rRNA". The stretch from base 189 to 342 matches the Rfam family "5.8S ribosomal RNA". The record is from RNAcentral. Lineage: Eukaryota; Fungi; Ascomycota; Dothideomycetes; Cladosporiales; Cladosporiaceae.